RNAcentral lists this ribosomal RNA (521 nucleotides) under uncultured Glomeraceae. Its description in RNAcentral is "SSU rRNA". It matches the Rfam family "Eukaryotic small subunit ribosomal RNA", at positions 569 to 1092 of the family's 1831-position model. Lineage: Eukaryota; Fungi; Glomeromycota; Glomeromycetes; Glomerales; Glomeraceae. The record is from RNAcentral.
AGCAGCCGCGGUAAUUCCAGCUCCAAUAGCGUAUAUUAAAGUUGCUGCAGUUAAAAAGCGCGUAGUUGAAUUUCGGGACCAUCAUGUUGGUCGUGCCUCGGUACGUACUGGCAUCGUCGGUUUCUCCCUUCUGACGAACCAUGAUGUCAUUUAUUUGGUGUCGUGGGGAAUCAGGACUGUUACUUUGAAAAAAUUAGAGUGUUUAAAGCAGGCUCACGCUUGAAUACAUUAGCAUGGAAUAAUGAAAUAGGACGUUUGAUUCUAUUUUGUUGGUUCCUAGGAUCGACGUAAUGAUUAAUAGGGAUAGUUGGGGGCAUUAGUAUUCAAUUGUCAGAGGUGAAAUUCUUGGAUUUAUUGAAGACUAACUACUGCGAAAGCAUUUGCCAAGGAUGUUUUCAUUAAUCAAGAACGAAAGUUAGGGGAUCGAAGACGAUCAGAUACCGUCGUAGUCUUAACCAUAAACUAUGCCGACUAGGGAUCGGAUGAUGUUAAUUUUUUAAUGACUCAUUCGGCGCCUUACG